This 254-nucleotide ribosomal RNA is filed under the name uncultured bacterium. RNAcentral describes it as "partial 16S ribosomal RNA". It matches the Rfam family "Bacterial small subunit ribosomal RNA", at positions 524 to 776 of the family's 1533-position model. The record is from RNAcentral.
UACGGAGGGUGCGAGCGUUGUCCGGAAUCAUUGGGCGUAAAGGGCGCGUAGGUGGCCCGGUCAGUCCGUGGUGAAAGCGCGGGGCUCAACCCUGCGUCGGCCAUGGAUACUGCCGCGGCUGGAGCACUGUAGAGGCAGGCGGAAUUCCGGGUGUAGCGGUGGAAUGCGUAGAUAUCGUAAGGAAGACCAGUGGCGAAGGCGAAUCUCUGGACAGUUACUGACACUGAGGCACGAAGGCCAGGGGAGCAAACGGG